Molecule: ribosomal RNA, 496 nt
Filed under: uncultured bacterium
Lineage: Bacteria
Description: partial 16S ribosomal RNA
Rfam family: Bacterial small subunit ribosomal RNA
Source: RNAcentral
GACGAACGCUGGCGGCGUGCCUAAUACAUGCAAGUUGAGCGCUGAAGGUUGGUACUUGUACCAACUGGAUGAGCAGCGAACGGGUGAGUAACGCGUGGGGAAUCUGCCUUUGAGCGGGGGACACCAUUUGGAAACGAAUGCUAAUACCGCAUAAAAACUUUAAACACAAGUUUUAAGUUUGAAAGAUGCAAUUGCAUCACUCAAAGAUGAUCCCGCGUUGUAUUAGCUAGUUGGUGAGGUAAAGGCUCACCAAGGCGAUGAUACAUAGCCGACCUGAGAGGGUGAUCGGCCACAUUGGGACUGAGACACGGCCCAAACUCCUACGGGAGGCAGCAGUAGGGAAUCUUCGGCAAUGGAAGAAAGUCUGACCGAGCAACGCCGCGUGAGUGAAGAAGGUUUUCGGAUCGUAAAACUCUGUUGGUAGAGAAGAACGUUGGUGAGAGUGGAAAGCGCAUCAAGUGACGGUAACUACCCAGAAAGGGACGGCUAACUACGG